UAUAUAUAUAUAUAUAUAUGUAAUCUAAUACUUUGGUUAAAAUGACUAUAUUUCAACAUUCAUAAAACUAUUAAAGCUUGGUAAAUAACAUUGCUGGAUUAAUUUUAGAUCAUUUACAUUUGUAACCUUUUUGUUGCGUUACAGAUUUAUACUUCCAAUUCUCUGGUACAGUACUUGAGUAACACAAAGUAAUCAAAGACUAAGAAUUUCAAGGAGUAGAUGGAUCUGUCUGGAGCUGGGACAGAGGAAACAAACUCUAGGUCCUGUGGAUUGGGAAAUGUUCUCCUAACUGCAUACUUUAUGUUGGCUAUACAAGCCUCCCUCCUAUCCAUCAUCCUUCCACCUCUCUCUGUCCUCUUUCUGCCUCUAUUUCCUUCUCACCUUCUCUAUUCGCUCCUACCACUCAUCCUCCUUCCAUCACUGCUGACCAAGUGUGGACUGAGCUGAGACGACUUCAUCCUAGAAAGGCUGCAGGACCAGACCGGGUGUGUCUGAGGGUUCUAAAGGUCUGUGCUACUGAAUUGGGGGAAGCUCUACAGCAGGUCUUUAACCUGAGUCUGCGACUGGGUGUGGUUCCCACACUAUGGAAAACAUCCUGCAUAGUCCCUGUUCCAAAAAAGGGUCGCCCAAGUGAGCCAAAUGAUUACAGGCCAGUUGCUCUGACGUCCCACGUCAUGAAAACAUUAGAGCGACUGGUCUUGAACAUGAUGCAACCCCAUCCUCUGUACACUGUUUUCUCCAACCAGAGGAGCUCCUUCAGUGACAGGUUCCUCUCACUGGGUUGUUCAACUGAGAGGAUUAAAAACUCAUUUGUUCCACGGGCCAUUAGGCUUUAUAAUGCUGCUAUCUGUGGGAGGGGAAAGGGAGGGAGACGGGGUAACUAGUAUUUUAACAUAUUUAAGCACUUUUACUAGACCUCUUUUUAGUGGUAAUGUAUUUAUUUAUUUAUUAUAUUCUUGUACCUUUUAUGGAUGUCUCCAGCUGUACGAUUUUAAUGUUGUGUGGAUGUGAAUUAAUGUGUGAGCAACAGAUGACCUGAAUUUCCCUAUGGGAUUAAUAAAGUUCAACCUAACCUAA
Long non-coding RNA from Xiphophorus couchianus (Monterrey platyfish), 1077 nucleotides. RefSeq lists it as uncharacterized. The record is from RefSeq and is a predicted model, not a curated record. NCBI's taxonomy places the organism in Eukaryota, Metazoa, Chordata, Actinopteri, Cyprinodontiformes, Poeciliidae. The transcript has 2 exons.